CUAACCUGCCUCCAGGUAUUAGGUAAACUUCUUUCUUCAUGCACACCUUAAAAACACAUCUACAAGUACUGUAAUAGUUUUUGAGCAAAUUUGUUUUCAAAUGAGAUUUAAAAGCUUACGAGGACUUUAAAGAUUGAAGAUCAGACCAUUCCAAAGUGAACAAAAGUUUUGCAAAGAAAUUAAUACUUUCCUAUCAUCCAGUCAAUCAACAGGAACAACACCAAAAAGAUUAAAAAUCUUUCUAAUCAAUAACAUUACCUAUUCUGUUUGUCAGAAAACAUUGUAUAAAACAUAACAGUCAGCAAAUUCAUGCAAAAUAUACAAGUUAAUUGGGACAGGUUACUUUUAACCUUUUACUCUUGUUUUCAGUUACAAAGAUCUAUUAGUUCAACCUAAAUAAAUUUUUACAAAUGUGUUAUUACCUGGAUGUUAACUUAAAUUCUAAAGAAUCCUUGACACUUCUUUAAAGAAAGAGGAUUAAAAUAUUGUCAUUUAUUGAUCUUUGAAGUCUGAUGGCGCAAUUAAUUAUGAUGCACUGCUACACAAUUCGUAUGUUCAGCCCUGUAAAAAGUUAUUUACCUACUGACCAAUUAAGACAUGGACUUUGUUCAUUGAAAGUAUUGUCAUAGAACAACAGAAAAAUUUAACAUUGACGCUAAUGAUGCAAAGUGAUGAGACUGAUACUGAUAAUGUUAGGACAAAAUCGAUACCUAAUGUUCAAGCAAAAGCUAUAUUGUUAGAAUCUUCACAUCCUACUAUACAGAAUUUACAUAGAAUGCCUAAAUAACACAUUAAGGGAAAAUUUUUACAACAAAAAAAAAAAAACACGGCGCCAAACGAACUAUUUUUUUAUGCAAAAUACCUUUGUUCGACCUAGACGCAAGGUAAAGUAAAUAAGUAAGUGUAUUUAAUCUUAUAUUCUAUUGUUUUCAGAUUCUUUGUAGAAAGUCGAAAACGUUACACCUAUAAUUAUUGGUACCUGCAUAGCCGCUGCUGUAUUAAUUACAACGGCUAUUACUAGUGUAUGUCUGCUUCUGAGGCUUCAAAAGACAGUUGAUUCAAAAAGAGAAGUCGACCCUGAGACCUCUGAUUCUACAGGAGGGAAUCGUAAAGAAAACAAUAAGUUUUUGGAACAGGAAGCGAUAACCAUGAAGCCAAAUCAAGGCCACCUAAGCAAGAAUGGAGGAAAAUCAUGUUUUAUUCUCUUUAGUAUUAUUUCUGCAUUUAAAACAUUCCCAGGUGUUGUUGUACAUCUCUGCAAGCUGCGUGUCAUGAACUACCAGUUUAACAGUUCUUUACCAGUGAAUCAGAGAGUUCUCUGAUGCUUCAGUUUCAUGGAACCGUCACGAGGGAUUUCAUCAAAUUUCAAGAACUCUUAAAGGAUCAAUUUAUUAAAAAUGGAGACAAAAUAUAUAAAUAAGAUGUGAACAACAUGUUGAAAUACUAUUUUUUAGCUUAGAGAAUGAAUUAACGUGUCCCCUGCUCUUAAAUCAAAUUUAAUAAAAUUUUGGUUAAACUGCCACAAAAGCCCUAAUCAGUAAUUAAGAUAUAGCGAUCAGUCUAAAUAUAUCAGAUAUAUGAUGUGUAAUUUAGAUGAUAUAUGUGAUGAAUGUCAUAUGUUUCUCAGUGCUCACCCUUUGUUAACAUUUUCUCGGAAAGCGCUUGCUUCCUGUAUAUUUUAUGAGUCAUCCAAAUGUAUUUACAUUUCACCUAUAAUAAAUGUUAAAGUAUAUUUAUUAAUUUAAGAAAAUGCAUUUGAAUUUCAUUAUCCCUGUUUUCAUUAUCUAUAUAUAUAUAUAUCUUUUGUGAUAUUGUCACCAUUUUGUACACAAAAGAUUUGUGUGUGAUGUAUAUUUUGUCGGAUGCUAUGGCUUAAAUACUCCUUGGGAUUAAAUUAAAUAAAAUAAAACAGAAAAGAAGGAAUAAAAAUUCAUCAUUGUCAAAUAAAAAGUGACUCUGUUGUAAACAUUAAUGAAAAAAGUCUUAAUUUUAAUGACAAUUGAAUACAUUAUAUUGUAUAAUAUAGAUGUAGUCAGGAAAAGUAUUUUAGUAGUGCAAGAUAGAAAUUCCGCGAGUAUGUAGACGUAAGAAAAGAACUGAGCAAAAAGAUUGUUUCAUCACAGAACUGAUCGAAAUGACAUUUUUGCAUACAAUAUGCUUUUAUUUAUAAAUGCAUUUCUGGGCUUUGAUGAAUAAAAUAAUACAUCAGAAGUCAUUAUUGUGUAUGUGUCAACCUACACUCAUUCAUUCUCAAGGGUAGUAACCUUAUACAAAGCAAAUGAACCUUAUCAAAAGGGCUUAAGUGGUUUUGCCCUAGAUAUUCAUUUUAUACUCUCCUAUGAUCUAUUCAUCGACUAUGUUAUUUUGAAUAGAACAGCUUAAGCCUUCUAGAACUUCAAAGAACUGGCUCUUCACUCUAGAACCUAUUUAUUGCAUCAAACCAGCGUGUGUGUUUUGUUUUGCACAUACAUAAACUUGUUACGAAAAAUUUUGUAAUAGUUUACUUGUAUUACUUUUUUUCUAGAUAGACCCAUCAACAGAUGUUAAAAAGUUCAUUCAAUUUGAAUGAGCAAUUAUCAUGAGUGCUUUAUUUUUAUAAACGGAUUUUCCCGAGACAUCAUUUACUAGUUGCUGCAGGUACAACAAUGGCGGCGACUAUCACACACUGACUUCCUAUGAGGAACGCUUAAUUAAAUCUCUUGUACAAAAGUGUAGAUAAAGUCUUUUGUUUUAGCAAUGCAUGAUAUCCAGCAUUGAAAUCUUUCCUUAUAAUUUUCAUUGACCUUAUUUAAAAUUUUGUGUAUUACUUAAUCUUUUGGAGUGAUGGGAAUUCCCGUUUUAUAUAUCGGGUGAUAGUUCUAGCCAUUAUGACUAGAUGUGAUAGAGUAGACAAAGCAACAUCUUCUGCCUUAACCUUGCUGAGAAUUAACCACCUUUUACGAGCAAACUGAAUAGUUCCAACAACAUGAAAUUAUUCAUAAGCUAAUAUGUGUGGUGCUGAGGACACCUGGGCGUCUCUCUUCUUGUUCGAAUGGCCUCAUUACAAGUGUUUAUACUAUUAACCUUGUUUAUACAGUCUAUAGAAGGUGAGGAAACCAUUACCAGCUGCCAGUAGAGUACGAAGGUGAUCUCAUUAGCAAAGUUACUUUAUUCUCGUCUGAAGCGGUGGGAAAGAUUCCUUUGGAUCUUGAGUAUAUAGAAUCAGGGCAGAACGAUGGGUAUAAGGUUGUAAUGUGCGACUGGGGGGUAAGGGACUGCGUGACAGACAGCGAUUUCACCAUCGACAGCCUGACUGUCGACAGCUUAUCAAUAAAAAUAAGCUCAAGUACUUACUGCCGAACUUGUGGAGAAUUUCAGUUUCGGAUCACACCAGACAAAAUAACCAAGUGCAAAGAUUUGUAUCAGACGACGAUACUGCAGCCUUCGAGUGGCAGUGCACGGAGUUGCAAAGUUGUCGGUACCAGGCCUGUUGUCGGCGUUAGCCUUCUAACUCUACUGACCACGAGGUACUUCUAAAAAGUUUUACACGUGGUAGGACUCCAAUCGCAUGACUAACGAGCCAUGAGGCUGUCAUAUAGAAAAUGAUGUCGCUGGUUCAGGCCAGGGAAGACAGAGUAUCACUGGUAACGGUGAAGGUAAGCAAAAUGUAAUUUGA
Molecule: long non-coding RNA, 3655 nt
Filed under: Pomacea canaliculata
Lineage: Eukaryota; Metazoa; Mollusca; Gastropoda; Architaenioglossa; Ampullariidae
Description: uncharacterized LOC112569654
Source: RNAcentral